This 5071-nucleotide long non-coding RNA is filed under the name Sus scrofa (pig). RNAcentral's name for it is "lncRNA (ENSSSCG00000056161.1)". Lineage: Eukaryota; Metazoa; Chordata; Mammalia; Artiodactyla; Suidae. The record is from RNAcentral.
UUAGGGUUCACUCUUGGUGUUGUACACUCUAUAGUUUAGACAAAUGUAUAACAACAUGUAUCUAUCAUUAUAGCAUCAUACAAAGUAUUUUCACUGUCUAACUUACUUUUAAUCCGUGAAGCAGUCCAUGCAAAAUGUACUUACAUACCCAGUCCAUAGGUCACAAGUUUAUAACACUGGUUCAGUCUUUAGCCCUGGAAUCUCAGCUGUUUCUGCUCUUAGGUGGUAUGCAGUGGAUUCCUGAAGGUUAAGCCAUUUUUUUGACCAAGAUCAGGAUUACUUACUUUUAUAAAUGAUAGAUAACAUCACUUGUAAAAGUGAAUAAUGUGCCACUAAGUUCCUAUGGCACCUGUUUCCUAACCUGGUCUUCCAGACAGUUAAUAUGUAUCAAUAUUAUGUACAGAGAAGCCCUCAAGGUUAUUCACUACAGUGCAAGCUUUUGUGGGGGCCUCCGAGGACUGAAGUCGUUUAAUUGUAAUGAACAGUAUUUUUGUGCUUAAAUUUUUUGAAGAGCGUUAGUAAAUGAACCCAGAUAUUCCCAAACUGUGAAUAUUUAGUCAAACUUCAUUCAUACACAUCUUAUUCUGCAUAUUGUGUUAUAAAUAAUUAAGAUGGAGAUAAAAUUGUGAAAUAUUCAGGAUGAUUUUUGUUUACAAAAUAUCAAUUUUUUAACCUUCCAGUGAAUAUAAAAAUAUGAUGAUAUGGUGUGUAUUUGUAAGAAAAAAAGGAACAAAAUGAAAUUUCACUGUGAAUUAGGAAAAAUGUUGAACUGAACACUUUAGGGUAACAGAGUUAAAAACUGUUAUAUUUUGAAAAUCUAUCACUUUACGAAUUGAGAGAUGAAAAAUUUUAAAGUAGCUAAUUAUAACUAUUAAAAUUGCAUGAGGAGUUUUUGUAUUAUCUAUAAAAAUUCAGCUUGCAGAUUUUCACAAAUGUCUAUCUAUCUCUAGAGUGAAUAAAACUAUGAAUAGGAAAUUCCCCUCACUCACUUUCUUUCUCUUGGAAGUUUAUUGUGUAUUUUCACAAUAGACAGAUUAUGCUUUGCUCUAGACAAAAAUUGAAAUUAUCUACAAAAUACUACCCCCUGCUUUGUUUAGGGUCUUAUAUUUAUAGGAGAUGAAUUACUUGGUUGUGUAGUUAAUCUACCAGUUUUUGCUUUUACAGAAUUAAUAAAUAAUAAUAAUUUGCUCUUUUAGAAAGUCACAGUUAUAAUAACCAUCUCAUUAAUUAUUUCAUCAAACUGGGCCUUCUUAUAUAAUUCAGGUUCAUAUGGGCAUGACCUCUUCACAAAGGUAAAACUCAUGGUACAGAGAAGAGUUAAGGAAAGCAGGACUUUAGAAAGAGCUCACGUUGAAAGAACUGAAAUAUUCCUUUUUCAAUAAUGUAAAGGAGUGGAGAGGCUCUGAGGUAACAGGCAUUUUCACACCAGGCACUGUGACUGCAAACACAGGAUCUAUAUUCAUAGUCAUUUGCUCCUGUCAGCCAAAUUGCUUGAACUUGAGCCCUUUUCUACUGCUCUUUAGGCCCUGGAUCUAGUAAUAGUACCAAUUUGGAUUCUCAGCUGCAAACAGUAGAUAUUAAUUCUAGCAUAUUUAUGCAGAAUAAAUAAUUCACUGGAAGGAUGACAGGAAGCCUUCUGAAUUAAUAGAAAAUUGGAUAACCACACUAAGAAAAAGAGAGAACCAGGGAGAACAGGCAGCAAGAAUCUAGUCCAUCCACACCACAGACACUGUCACUAGAUGAUGCAACAGGAAUUACAGCCACUGAACUACUUACUAGUGAUGUCACUGGCAUUACAAGUAGAGCUCUCUUUCAAGCUUCAGGUCCCUUAACGUCUCUGUCACUAUAGCCACUGGAUUGGAUAAAUUUAGGCCAAAUCCACACCCUUGCUCAAAAAUUGCAAGAACUGCCUUACUUCAGUUUCUAAAAAGCAAUGUGGAGCUUUAUCUAUCACUGCUUCUGGAAUUGCCUCAGAAAGGAAAUGUAUUUAGGUUCUCGGUUGCUGAAGUUGUACAAAUUCCACUAAGCUCCUCCCCUUUAGUUCUCCAAUAUUUAUAUAUACCUUUCUUAAACUUGAAGCUCCAAAAAUAUAAUACAACUACUUCUUCACAGUCUCCAAAAACACACAAGCCUCCUCUUCAAGGAAAGAAAACCCAAAAUUUCAUUAGCUAAUGCUUUUAUCAGCACAGGACUAUGGAAUGAUAUCCAUUCUUGCUCUGGUUUUGCCACAAUCCUGAAAGGAUAUUCAUGUACAGAUGUGAUGGAUUUUAGAGUUAUCUGUCACCACAGCCUUGAAAUUUCAAUAAUGAGAGGUAAAAAGAGGAAUGAAAAGGGAAAAUAGUUAAGAUAUAUAAAUGUCACAGCAAAGAGGUAAAGCAGGUUAAAGUUAUGGUACGUCUUUCAAUAGCUGGCCACAACAGUAUCUAUAGUAUUUAUAAGUUUCCCCCUUUCCAUUUGACCUUCAACCUACACCUCAGCCAGUUGGGGUUCUUUAUUCAGUGACAUAACCUAAACCUUUAUUUCUGAGGCAUCUGUAUCUUGAUGUUCCUAUUCAUAUGGCAUUCCACUGAAUUCAACCACUGGACCUACUUGUACAAAGAAGUAUUGUAUGAGAGUACAUGUUUUGUUAUUGUUAGUGGUUUUUUGUUUGUUUGCUUGCUUUUAGCAUCUCUUUCCUUCCUAUUUUUCCUGACUUGAAGAUUUCAAAAAGGCUAAGUAGAAGUAGUCACUUCUAAAUCAAUGAAACCAUUUUUAUAUCUCUUAAUGGAAGCAUUACUCCUUUAGAUGAUAAAACCUCUAAAAAGCAGAAUCCAGAAUUAUAGAGCAGAGAUGCAAACAUUUUUCCAAUGGGUAAUUAGUUUUAAUUAUGAAAGGUGCCACCCCACUGCCAUUCCUUUGGAGUUUGUGAAGAAAAAGCAACAUAUACUGGUUCAGAUUAUACAUUAGUUCAGAGGAUGCAUAGAAACUUACAGGAAAGCAGUCCAACUUGGCAGAGUGAUUGUCAUCUGAGAUCUUAACAGUGUCUUAAAUGGCUAUCUUGUUCUGUAAAUGAAGCCAGGUGGAAUUCUGUGGAGCCUUCCCAGGGACAGACAUCCCCACUCUCCACACUGUGUCUGCACCUCUUAUUUAUAGAAAAACUUUAGCUUCCUAGGCCUUCCCUGAGUUCUAAAGAGUAAAUUUAAUCAGAGAAGCAAGGAAUUGCAAAAACAAAGGAAAACAAUUAAGCAAGACAAAGUAAGAAUAGUUUAGCCAUAAAAUAAAGACCUUUAAUUCAUCCUCAAGGAUAAAUAAUUGAGCCAUGUCCUUGAGUAUUUUUGCAGAUACUGAAACCUCCACUGGGAGGAAGAGUUAACUGCAGGCUGACCAUCAGCAGGUAGACCCAAGACAAGCUGGAAUCAAAAGGUUAAUGAUUCAGAUUCCUGAAACAUCACCCUGUUACCUCACCAUCAACCAAUCAGGGAGCUGAUCAUAUACCUUGUGACUCUCUCCUUCACACUGUCUUUAAAACCCUUCCCUGAAAGCCAUCUGGGAGCUCAGGUCUUUUGACCAUGAGCCACCCGUUCUUGCUUGGCCUUACAAGAAAUGCUACACUUUACUUCCCUACAACCUAGUGUCAGUAGAUUGGCUUCGCUUCACAUCCUGUGAGCAGACCCAUGGUCACCUGUUUAGGAAGGUAGGAUAUGUAAAUUCAAUAGAACCCAAUAGAAAUUAAUCAGCUGCCUUACUUUUUUAUUGAAAAGCAAGUUUCUUGGUUAGAAGAAUCUAGGUGUGAAAUAUCUUAGUUGUAUUUAAAACAUUCAGUAAUCCAUGAAAGAUGGGUUAAUACACACAUGGCAGGCAAGAAAAGCAAAACUGACUCUGUGUCUAUUCCUGUAAGAAAAUAAUAGCUCAGUUUUCCAGGUAAUUGUUUUAUCCUUAGACAAGUCAGUCAAUUGCUAUUACUAUUUCUACAGAUAAAUCAGGAACUCAGCAAAGAAGACUUAGUGUGAUGCCAAGCAGUGCAGCUCUGUAAAGAUGCCCUGCUUGCUCAGACCAGGAAUGCUCUGCAAAGAGCUGAUGUUGAAGGCUGGGGUGUGAAAGUAGAGCAGCCCUGUUUUGCCUAUAGAUUAUUUGCUGGCCUUCUAGUGAUUUGAGGUAUAGCAAAAUUAGUCAUGUUCCCUUUAUAAAAAAAUUCAGAUUAUUUAAUACAUUUAUUACCUUCCAGUAUUCUAAGGAGAUAUGCUAUUUGACAUCAUAGAAAGAAAUGGUGGUCUUUUAGCUUAAAAAAGUGUUCUGUCUAGAAGCCACCAAUUUUAAAAUUAAAAUAAUUAAGGGAGUGAAAAAGAAGAAUACCGCUGCUACCAAAAAUGAAAGCUAGUAGACAAAUGAGUGCCAGAAUCAGGCAUUUCAACCAAAGUAAUGGAUCAAGGAGGAGAAAUGAUCCCUCUUCACUUUUAUAACAUGUUCAGCUUUGCUCCAUUAACAGCUUAGCUUAUCCAGAAAAAGGGCAGAGGAACUCUCACCCACAAGAAACACUAUCACCAGUUCGGUCUGACUCCAUACAGAGAACUAUGCUCUUAUUGAAAUUCUUUUAAAUCCUGCUGAUAUAUUCCCAUCAAGUAUGAAAAUUGCAGUCCAAUAUGUUCUCCUUACAAUUCUCUCCUAUUUUUUUCUACAUCCUUCAAGAGACAAGAUCUAGGAAACAAUGUGAUGGAAAGCAAGGGUGGGUACCAAAUAGCAGCAGGCUGUCUGAUGAGAGUUGUAGUCACAAGUAAGUUUUUGUAAUCAGGGGAAGGAGUCUCAGCUAUCACACAUUUUCAGAAUUGUGAUUUUUAAUCUGGGAGUUCCCGUCAUGGCACAGUGGUUAACGAAUCCGACUAGGAACCAUGAGGUUGCGGGUUCGGUCCCUGCCCUUGCUCAGUGGGUUAACGAUCCGGCAUUGCCGUGAGCUGUGGUGUAGGUUGCAGACGCGGCUCAGAUCCCGCGUUGCUGUGGCUCUGGCGUAGGCCGGUGGCUACAGCUCCAAUUCAACCCCUAGCCUGGGAACCUCCAUGUGCCGCAGGAGCAGCCCAAGAAAUAGCAACAACAACAA